UGGCGGCAUGGCUUACACAUGCAAGUCGAACGGUAACAGGUCUUCGGAUGCUGACGAGUGGCGAACGGGUGAGUAAUACAUCGGAACGUGCCCGAUCGUGGGGGAUAACGGAGCGAAAGCUUUGCUAAUACCGCAUACGAUCUACGGAUGAAAGCGGGGGAUCUUCGGACCUCGCGCGGACGGAGCGGNCGAUGGCAGAUUAGGUAGUUGGUGGGAUAAAAGCUUACCAAGCCGACGAUCUGUAGCUGGUCUGAGAGGAUGAUCAGCCACACUGGGACUGAGACACGGCCCAGACUCCUACGGGAGGCAGCAGUGGGGAAUUUUGGACAAUGGGGGCAACCCUGAUCCAGCCAUGCCGCGUGCAGGAUGAAGGCCUUCGGGUUGUAAACUGC
Molecule: ribosomal RNA, 392 nt
Filed under: uncultured bacterium
Lineage: Bacteria
Description: bacterial SSU rRNA
Rfam family: Bacterial small subunit ribosomal RNA
Source: RNAcentral